Molecule: ribosomal RNA, 952 nt
Filed under: Coxiella burnetii RSA 493
Lineage: Bacteria; Pseudomonadati; Pseudomonadota; Gammaproteobacteria; Legionellales; Coxiellaceae
Description: bacterial LSU rRNA
Rfam family: Bacterial large subunit ribosomal RNA
Source: RNAcentral
AAGUUCCGACCUGCACGAAUGGCGUAACGAUAGCCACGCUGUCUCCACCCAAGACUCAGUGAAAUUGAAAUCGCUGUGAAGAUGCAGCGUACCCGCGGCUAGACGGAAAGACCCCGUGAACCUUUACUACAGCUUUACACUGAACUUUGAAUAUGCCUGUGUAGGAUAGGUGGGAGGCUUUGAAGCUGGAGCGCUAGCUCCAGUGGAGCCAACCUUGAAAUACCACCCUGGCGUGUUUGAGGUUCUAACCCUGUCCCGUAAUCCGGGUCGGGAACAGUGUAUGGUGGGUAGUUUGACUGGGGCGGUCUCCUCCAAAAGAGUAACGGAGGAGUACAAAGGUACCCUCAGCACGGUCGGAAAUCGUGCAUUGUGUGCAAAGGCAUAAGGGUGCUUGACUGCGAGACUGACAAGUCGAGCAGGUACGAAAGUAGGUCUUAGUGAUCCGGUGGUCCUUUAUGGAAGGGCCAUCGCUCAACGGAUAAAAGGUACUCCGGGGAUAACAGGCUGAUACCACCCAAGAGUUCAUAUCGACGGUGGUGUUUGGCACCUCGAUGUCGGCUCAUCACAUCCUGGGGCUGUAGCCGGUCCCAAGGGUAUGGCUGUUCGCCAUUUAAAGUGGUACGUGAGCUGGGUUUAGAACGUCGUGAGACAGUUCGGUCCCUAUCUGCCGUGGGCGUUGGAGAUUUGAGAGGAGCUGCUCCUAGUACGAGAGGACCGGAGUGGACGUACCUCUGGUGUUCCGGUUGUCACGCCAGUGGCAUUGCCGGGUAGCUAAGUACGGACGGGAUAACCGCUGAAAGCAUCUAAGCGGGAAGCCCCCCUCAAGAUGAGAUCUCCCGGACCUUUAAGGUCCCUAAAGAUUCGUUGAAGACGACAACGUUGAUAGGCAGGGUGUGGAAGCUCAGUAAUGAGUGAAGCUAACCUGUACUAAUUAAUCGUGCGACUUGACUAU